Molecule: ribosomal RNA, 327 nt
Filed under: uncultured eukaryote
Lineage: Eukaryota
Description: partial 18S ribosomal RNA
Rfam family: Eukaryotic small subunit ribosomal RNA
Source: RNAcentral
CCCUUAGAUGUUCUGGGCCGCACGCGCGCUACACUGACGAUGUCAGAGAGUGUCUCCUUCACCGAGAGGUGUGGGUAAUCUUUUAAACAUCGUCGUGCUGGGGAUAGAUCAUUGCAAUUUUUGAUCUUAAACGAGGAAUUCCUAGUAAGCGCGAGUCAUCAGCUCGCGCUGAUUACGUCCCUGCCCUUUGUACACACCGCCCGUCGCUACUACCGAUUGAAUGGUUUAGUGAGGCCUUCUGACUGGCGCCGCUACUCUGGCAACAGGGCGGCGGAUGCCGGGAAGUUGGUCAAACUUGAUCAUUUAGAGGAAGUAAAAGUCGUAACA